GCAGGUGUGGCGGAAUUGGCAGACGCACUAGACUUAGGAUCUAGCGCCUUUGGCAUGGGGGUUCAAGUCCCUUCACCUGCACCA
RNAcentral lists this transfer RNA (84 nucleotides) under Clostridium acetireducens DSM 10703. RNAcentral describes it as "tRNA-Leu". It matches the Rfam family "tRNA". Rfam says of the family: Transfer RNA (tRNA) molecules are approximately 80 nucleotides in length. Their secondary structure includes four short double-helical elements and three loops (D, anti-codon, and T loops). The record is from RNAcentral. Lineage: Bacteria; Bacillati; Bacillota; Clostridia; Eubacteriales; Clostridiaceae.